RNAcentral lists this transfer RNA (51 nucleotides) under Cautires kotatinggensis. RNAcentral's name for it is "partial tRNA-Ser". The record is from RNAcentral. Lineage: Eukaryota; Metazoa; Arthropoda; Insecta; Coleoptera; Lycidae.
CCAUAAAAAGCUUCUAACUUUAAAAAAAGCAUUAACAUGUUAAUGAUUCUU